RNAcentral lists this long non-coding RNA (901 nucleotides) under Brassica napus (rape). RNAcentral describes it as "long non-coding RNA (BNAP_LNC005471)". The record is from RNAcentral. Lineage: Eukaryota; Viridiplantae; Streptophyta; Magnoliopsida; Brassicales; Brassicaceae.
GGCAACAAUAAUCAAACCCAAAAUCUAACACAAUAACAUUACUGAGAAAGGCAAAAGUAAUCUAUGUCGACAGUUCUAGCAAGUCCCAUCAUUCAAAUUAAUAAGUUAGUCAAAGAACCCAUAGCGCACAUGCAAUUUGCAUAGAUAUGGUCAAGCAAUCAGCAUCAGCCAUUCAAAAGCAAUACCAUUGGCACUGAUUAGAGCGAAAAGAAGAAAAGUAGCAUGAAGCAAAUACACGGAUAUAAAAUCUCUUUCUUGCAGAUAUGAGAGUAGUACAUAGAAAACUACACACGUUUUCUACUAUUUAUCAUUGUCGUGCACGUAACUGAACAAUUUCAAGCAGCAAGUAGCUUCUUCUGUAUGAUUUUUGCACUUAAACGUGUAGAACCACUUUGGCAAAAUUUCCUUCCAUAAAGAAGUAAUCUGAUAUGAAUUAAUAUUGGUGAAAUCUACAAAAAAAUAGGUCCUACGUAUAGUGGUAUAGUUAUAGUUGUCCUCAAGAGUCAGUAAAUAGGCAUAGCCGCAUAGAUGUUGAUAUAGCGAUAAUUGUCCUCCAGAGUUGGAAACCUGUGAAUCAAAAUGCUUUCGUAGUGAUAUGAAUCGGCACUAGUAACAACGAACACAAAUCAAUACAUUUCUGUGAAUCAAUUUUAUAGAGAAAUUGCGCAAUUAGUUUUUGUUAGACUUGAAUAGUAACUUCGUGGAGUGAAUAAAGACCAGAGAAAGAGCGAAGCAGCAAUAAGCUUCUCUUUGAGGCCAUGCCAUUGCAGAGAAAACAUUCUGGUUCCGAAUGCAGAACAAGCUUUCUUCUUUUGUUCACUUCCCCAUUAUGGUCCUCCACGUUUUGUAGCAACAAACGGCCACCAUCCUCGUUGUUCCAAUAUCAUUCAUUUUCCGCAUC